AGGACGAACGCUGGCGGCGUGCUUAACACAUGCAAGUCGAGCGGUGAUCCUCCUUCGGGAGGUGAUCAGCGGCGAACGGGUGAGUAACACGUGGGCAACCUGCCCCUCACACUGGGAUAACCUCGGGAAACCGGGGCUAAUACCGGAUACGACCUCGAGCGGCAUCUCUUGAGGUGGAAAGCUCCGACGGUGGGGGAUGGGCCCGCGGCCUAUCAGCUUGUUGGUGGGGUAAUGGCCUACCAAGGCGACGACGGGUA
This 257-nucleotide ribosomal RNA is filed under the name uncultured bacterium. RNAcentral's name for it is "partial small subunit ribosomal RNA". It matches the Rfam family "Bacterial small subunit ribosomal RNA", at positions 26 to 285 of the family's 1533-position model. The record is from RNAcentral.